UGUUUAGCUCAGCUGGGAGAGCACCUCCCUUACAAGGAGGGGGUCGGCGGUUCGAUCCCGUCAUCACCCACCA
Molecule: transfer RNA, 73 nt
Filed under: Shigella sonnei
Lineage: Bacteria; Pseudomonadati; Pseudomonadota; Gammaproteobacteria; Enterobacterales; Enterobacteriaceae
Description: tRNA-Val
Rfam family: tRNA
About the family: Transfer RNA (tRNA) molecules are approximately 80 nucleotides in length.
Source: RNAcentral